Molecule: long non-coding RNA, 203 nt
Organism: Choloepus didactylus (southern two-toed sloth)
Lineage: Eukaryota; Metazoa; Chordata; Mammalia; Pilosa; Megalonychidae
Exons: 3
Source: RefSeq, a predicted model, not a curated record
AUCAGGGCAAUCAAAAAAUAUGAAGUUAAACAAAACAGUUGUUGAACUUAAAAAUAAUCUGCCUUCCACGAUCUCUACACCUAGAAAUUUUUUUCAUAAAGACCCAGAUUUUUUGCUACUACAAGCAAAGAUGCAAUAAAUAUAUGUGUACAUAUAUAUUUCUAUUGUGAUGAUUAAAUGUCUAUAAAACAGCAUGUAAAAGG